Long non-coding RNA from Amphiprion ocellaris (clown anemonefish), 413 nucleotides. The record is from Ensembl. Lineage: Eukaryota; Metazoa; Chordata; Actinopteri; Pomacentridae.
GACAUGUGAAGUUAGUAUGAUGGUGACCAUCCAGGGAUCCGCUGCAGGGAAUUGUCUCUUCCUUCCUUACAAUAACUUGAGGUGCCGCAUUGUCACCAGUAAUCAGCUUAAAAGACCUUUGGUGGCACCUCUGGAAGAGCUGCUGAACAACAGAGCGUCCGACUUCCUGGAAGUGACGGAGUUGAGCUUCCUCUACCUCAUGGACUGAUCUUCACUGAUCCCUUGCUCCAGUAUCAGGACGGCUUCGUGGUGGUUGGAGGGAACCUGAACCUGACUCCCGCUGGGAGGCAGAGGGUGUUGAAUGGAGAUAAUGCCGGCAGAUAAGCGUUCUUCACGUCUGGAACCAGAGUUUAAACAGAAACAAAGCUUCAGAACAGUUUCAUGUUUGUCUGCAAUAAAAGCCUCAGCAUCAG